UGACGGCCUGCGUUAUCUCGCGAGACGUUAGAUCCCUCUACGAGGCAGAUCCCGCGAGACUCGAGGAGAACCUUUUAGACUCGCUUCGGAGUGGCCUGCUAGUUGGGUGCUGGACAAUCCUGCUCUUGACAAGUGGUUCAAUUUGGGAGAAGCUGUUUAGAGCUCUUCACCUGGGAGCACAAAAUAGACCAAAUGGCAGGCCUUGGAACUGAAAAUGCAAAUCCUUGGUUUGGAAACAAAGACAUUUCUUGCAACCUGGAACUAUAGGUAGGUAUGUGCAGAGCCGUCCCUAGACAAUUUUCAAGAGUAGGCGAAGAGAAUUUUUGUGCCCCCCCCCCCCAAACCAAUUUCUGCAAUACUUCACCUUGGAGGAGGAGGAGGAGGAGGAGGCGGGUGAGGCCACAGCAGCCUCCUGUACAGCGCGCACGGCGGCACGCAGGCAUGCAGGGCGGGCGCAUGGCGGCACGCAGGCCAGGUGCACGCCAGCAUGGGCCCGCCAUCCAGGCAGCGAGCGCGCUCUCCAGCCACUGCAACCGGCAGAAGGAAGCUUCCUUCCGCCAGUUGAAGCAGGUUGAGAGCGUGCAAGCCGCCCGGAAAGCCCAGGCCGCCCGGAAGGUGGCACCAUCUUGUAGGGGGCACCAUUGAGAUGCUCCCGCAUGCGUCUCAACAUGCGCGCGCACCCAGGAGCACCUCAACAGCGCCCCUGACAAGAUGGCGCCACAGGCAAAUGCCUAGUUGGCCUGGUGGUUGAACCGCCUCUGGGUAUGUGUAAAGAUGGUUUCAUGAAAUCAAUCUAAGCCACCCAGCUGUUGAUCAGUAAAUUUUAUCAGAUUGUCAACAAUGACUACAUCUUGAUCCAUUGAUUUUUCAGAACAGUGUUUAGGAAUUUUAAACCCAAUAUUGGAUGGUAAAACCCUUUGCUCUUCUGUACUGUGACAGGAAUAUACACCCUCGAAUUUGUGAUCUUGUGGUACCCAUUCUAUAAGCUCCAGUUUGAAAAAGAUGAUCUCUUUCUGUACAAUCUUCUGUUUUUCUUUUUUCUUCAGGACCAGUAGAGGCAGGUAUCUGCUGGUUGGGUUUUGGGAGAAAAUAAUUUUCCUCUUGUUUGGCUAGCUACCUAAAUUGUUGUUGCUAUCUCCUUCCAAAUCCAUCUGAAAUGCAAUAAUCAUUCCCCACCAAAAGUUCCUUUAUGUCAGUAUUGUUGUCUGCCAUAUGUAUGCUGGUUUAUUUUGUGAUUUCCGAUGUGCAUCCCAACAAUGUAGUCAACGUGAUGUGCAUGCAAUGGUUGAAGCCAUAAUACUUCUAGCAGGAAAUGCCAUAGCAUCAUGGCUUGCAUCAGCAAUAUAUUGUAAUGUUUCCCUAAAAAAGAUCAGGCAAUGGUAUUUCUAUGGCCUUAGAUGCUAGUUUUCUUAAUAUUCCUUCCUUCCUCCCUCCCUCCCUCCUCCCUCCUCCUCCUCCUCCUCCUCCUCCUCCUCCUUCUUGAUUUCAACUUGAAUUAUUUUGUUGUCUUUAUACUUACACCCAAGGACACCUCCUCAUCACUAUCUUCAAGUGACUGGUAAACCAUAUCAUUCUCAUCCAGGUCCUCCCCUAUUUCUGAAUCAAAAUCAGAUUCAGGGUCCCAAUUAUUUGUCUUUUUGGAUAUUUUGUACCUUACUAUUCAUUUUCCUCAUCCACUGUUUCUCUUUACUGUUUCUUACUCAUAAUAUUGGCUUUAUCCAUUUAUUUCUGCUGACUGAAAGUUCACAUUUGCUUUCUCUCUUUCUGCCAUCAGAUGAAUAUGUACUCUUGUGUAAGAAUCAUCAUAUAAAGAAUUCAUCUCAGGUAUAUUACUAGGUAGAAUCAUGUUUCUUAAAUUGAUUGCACUAAAUAAUUCAUUAGUUGUAACUUGACUGAUUAAUUUGUCUGCUGUUCAGUAAUGCUACUUUGAAAUUAAUGUCUGAGUGUAUAAUAUUUUUUAAUAUCUGCUUGACUGUUGGGCAUACACAUAACAUUAUUCUGAUGCCACCCCAUUAGUAGUAGCUGCACGUAGUGGCACUGGCGCCGGUUGCAAUGACAGUGCUGCUCUCAUCAUUAUUGAUUUUAAAUUAGUCAACAGGCUAUAAAAGCUUUUUUCUUUGUAUUUCUCAGACAUUCUACUACUAUUGUCUUUCAUGGUCUUUUUAUGUGGUGGAGAAGGUAUGCUGAUCUCUAACUGAUUCUCACUUAAUGGUAUAAAUAUUCUCUUUAAAGCAUCCUUUUCUCUCUUUUUUUUCUUCAGAGCCAUAAUGAGCAGCGAGCAUCUGGGUUUACUGCUUUUUAUUCCUUUUCAGACUUAUGAUACACUGAGUAGAGGUAAGUUAUUUCACCUCAGGUUUAACUUCUAACAUGGUUGUUUUCUUUUCCUACCGGGCAGUGCUAUGGCCCCAUCUUUAUUGCCUCAUCAGUACUUUUCCUCUUUUUAUUAUUAACCUCUCUUCUUGCAUAAUAUUAAUGAUUUUACUUCAAAAUAGAGUCUUCUUAAAAGCUCUGGGAUUUAGCAAGCAAGCAAAGAAGAGAAGGGCUGUAGCUGAAGAAGAAUCAUAAACUCCUGCCUAUCCAUCAUGCGGAGAAAAGCCUGUUGGUUUGUGGGUUGCUCCUCCUAACCCAUACAGAUAAUAUGAUUUUAUGUGUCCACAAGCUUUGAUUAUUUUUGUUUAUUUACUUACUAUAUAUACUCAUGUAAAGGUUGAUCUCAUGUAUAAGUCAAGAAUAGGUUUUGGGGGCCAGUAUUACAGAUUUUGGGCCGCAGUGGUGCAGUGGGUAAAAAAGCUGAACUGCAGAACUUGGUGACCAAAAUGUCAGCAGUACGAAUCUACAGGUCGGGGUGAGAUCCCAUUGUUAGCCCUAGCAGUUCUGCUAAACUAGCAAUUUGAAAACAUGCAAAUGUGAGCAGAUCAAUAGGUACCCACUUCGGCGGGAAGGUAACAGCACUCCAUGCAGUCAUGCCAGCCACAUGACCUAGGAGGAGUCUACGGACAAUGCCGGCUCUUUGGGGAGAGAAUUCCAGCACAAUUUUAGCAGGCUAACCAUUUCUGGCUGCAUCACCAUUUUCUCACUAAGCCAUUCAAAAAGACCAGAAGUAGCACUGCAGUGAGAACAUAAAGAGGCUCAGUGCUCCUUUUAGGUUAUCCCAGGAUGAACUAAGAUUUAACCUUUUGCCACCUCACUGAGAGAUGGUUUCUUUUUGGAUAAGAGAUAAGAUAAUGUCUUACAUUAACCCAUGGAUUAGUUGGUCUGGGGUUUUUGAAUUGAAUUUGGGGCUAAAAAUUUUAGACUUACACAUGAGUAUAUACAGCAUUCGUUUCUGCUUUCUAUUUCUAUUCCAUUUCUAUUUCUAUUCCAUUUCUAUUUCUAUUCCAUUUCCACAAAACAAACAAAGAAACAACACAUACCAAAAAAGAGUUCAAAGCAACAUAUCCUGAUUGUAACUACCUUGUCAAUGGCAUUGCUUGUAAAUUCUGUAUCAUUUGCAUUGCAUUGAUAUACAAGUAGGGGGGGGGGGGGGGAAAGAAGCAUAGAAGAGAUUUUGCACUGCAGCUUCCAGAAUCCCACGGCCAGAAUGGCCACUGACUGUGCUGGCAGAGUGGUUCAGGAAGCUGUAACUGAAACAUGCAACUUUCCAAGCUUCAAGAACCCUAUGUUGUCAUAAUAACUACUACUACUAUAGGAUGCUAACGCACUACCCGAUAUCACUGGAAGUUGAAGAUGUCAAUUCUUUCCUUGAAUCUUUAGGUAAUUAAAAGAGGAAUGUAUGCAUAAUUUAACUUGUAAGAAAUAAAAAGAGCUAGUAACUUUU
This is a long non-coding RNA of Anolis carolinensis (green anole), 3817 nucleotides long. RefSeq lists it as uncharacterized. The record is from RefSeq and is a predicted model, not a curated record. Lineage: Eukaryota; Metazoa; Chordata; Lepidosauria; Squamata; Anolidae. The transcript has 2 exons.